Molecule: long non-coding RNA, 1118 nt
Organism: Branchiostoma floridae (Florida lancelet)
Lineage: Eukaryota; Metazoa; Chordata; Leptocardii; Amphioxiformes; Branchiostomatidae
Exons: 3
Source: RefSeq, a predicted model, not a curated record
AAGGCUAGAUCUAUAAAUUGUGAGAUCCCCCUCGGGCAGCAGACAGUCAAACCUGACAGCUGAUAGGUGCAGAAGAACCAGUCGCUGAAUAGGCAUCUGUAAUUUGAAGAAGUUGUUCUUUCAUCAACUGAGAUUCACAAAGAUGAGCCGCCCACUAAGCGUCAAUGUUGCGAGACAGUUGCUCCAGCGUCAGAUGCACGUCCUCAGAACUGUGUCCAAUGACGUCAAAGGGAGGGAGGAGCGACUGCAGGGUAUGCAGGACAGAGUGGAGACCCUGGAGAUCAGAAGGAGACUGCAGGAUAACCGCAUGACCCACAGACAGCCCACCAAACGACGUGCUACUGAUCGUCAUCAAUGACAGCUGUGUCAUCACGGACACGUCUAAAGAUAGCAUCAACACAUCAUGAUGAUCCAUGUAUUUAUUAUGUCUUCUGAUUGGGGUUAUUCCACUUGUACACAUACAUGGAGGUGAUACAGAUCAUCAGACGGUUUCAGACCUGAGUUACAGCAAUCAUCUCCUUCGAUUUUCUCAUCAUAAUACGGUUUUGGCAUUCCAAUGUUCCAUUUCCUUAUGUAAUUAUUUUUGUAAAUUAUUGAAUGAUCUUUAUUUGAACUUUAUUAUACUAGAAUGCCCUGUCGUAGCAGCAUGCGAUAUUUGUGUUUAACAUGUUCAAUUGAUGAUCUUAUCUAUACUUGAUAUCACUUUUAUGAUGAUUGAUAUGUGAAUUAUUUGAUGUAUAUUGAUGUGUAUUUGAGAUAACAGUAACAUAUAUUUCUGAUUCAAAGGUAUAUACGAGUACUUGUAUAAAAAUUAUACAACGUAGUACAACUAAUACUAUAUCCUACAAGAGCUGCUACGACAAAAAGGCGUGCAUUGGAACACAGUCGAUAAUUUACAAAGUCGUAGUGAGCAAAUCCAAAGACGAGUGGUACAACUAAUACUACAUGCCACUCGAGCUGCUAAGGAAAGGGGCUUACAUUGGAACGUAGUGAACAAAUACAAAGACAAUUUAAAAGUUAUUGUAGAGUUUUUGACUCAAAAUGGUAGAUAUUCAAGAUAUAUAGAUUGUAUGUAUUCAAGAUAUGUUAAUUCCAAUAAAACAAGAUUUUGAAAGAUG